Molecule: ribosomal RNA, 466 nt
Filed under: uncultured bacterium
Lineage: Bacteria
Description: partial 16S ribosomal RNA
Rfam family: Bacterial small subunit ribosomal RNA
Source: RNAcentral
GAUGAACGCUAGCGGCGUGCUUAACACAUGCAAGUCGAACGAUGAAGCCCAGCUUGCUGGGUGGAUUAGUGGCGAACGAGUGAGUAACACGUGAGUAACCUGCCCUUGACUCUGGGAUAAGCCUGGGAAACUGGGUCUAAUACUGGAUAUGACUUCUCAUCGCAUGGUGGGGGGUGGAAAGAUUUAUUGGUCUUGGAUGGACUCGCGGCCUAUCAGCUUGUUGGUGAGGUAAUGGCUCACCAAGGCGACGACGGGUAGCCGGCCUGAGAGGGUGACCGGCCACACUGGGACUGAGACACGGCCCAGACUCCUACGGGAGGCAGCAGUGGGGAAUAUUGCACAAUGGGCGCAAGCCUGAUGCAGCGACGCCGCGUGAGGGAUGACGGCCUUCGGGUUGUAAACCUCUUUCAGUAGGGAAGAAGCGAGAGUGACGGUACCUGCAGAAGAAGCGCCGGCUAACUACGUG